Molecule: ribosomal RNA, 449 nt
Filed under: uncultured bacterium
Lineage: Bacteria
Description: bacterial SSU rRNA
Rfam family: Bacterial small subunit ribosomal RNA
Source: RNAcentral
UGGGGAAUAUUGGACAAUGGGCGCAAGCCUGAUCCAGCAAUGCCGCGUGUGUGAAGAAGGCCUGCGGGUUGUAAAGCACUUUCAGUGGGGAGGAAGGCCUCAGUGGUAAUAUCGCUGAGGAUUGACGUUACCCACAGAAGAAGCACCGGCUAACUCUGUGCCAGCAGCCGCGGUAAUACAGAGGGUGCAAGCGUUAAUCGGAAUUACUGGGCGUAAAGGGUGCGUAGGUGGUUAAUUAAGUCAGAUGUGAAAUCCCAAGGCUUAACCUUGGAAUUGCAUUUGAUACUGGUUAGCUAGAGUACAGAAGAGGGAAGUGGAAUUUCCGGUGUAGCGGUGAAAUGCGUAGAUAUCGGAAGGAACAUCAGUGGCGAAGGCGACUUCCUGGUCUGUUACUGACACUGAGGCACGAAAGCGUGGGGAGCGAACAGGAUUAGAUACCCCCGUAGUCC